RNAcentral lists this long non-coding RNA (1243 nucleotides) under Bos indicus x Bos taurus (hybrid cattle). Its description in RNAcentral is "lncRNA (ENSBIXG00005011572.1)". Lineage: Eukaryota; Metazoa; Chordata; Mammalia; Artiodactyla; Bovidae. The record is from RNAcentral.
GGGCUCGCAGGCUUGUCUCAGGCCUCCAGCGAGAACCCUUCCUGACGGCGGGCUCGUCCCCCACAUGUUCCCCAGACACGGGUUAUUUACAGGACGCCCGGACAGCGAUGCUAAAUGCAUAGCAGCAGGGGCUGCGUGUGUGAUGGCUGAGGUCAUGGUUAUUCAUUUCAGCUGUGAAGACAUUUGGUUUAUAAAACCCCAGUGACUCCACUGGGAGGGACUUUCGGAGAAGAGAAACAGCCCCUGAUUUCUCUUCCUGUCUCAGCACCGGUGGGACCAGCACUUACAUCACUGGCCCCUGUGCAGCGAGUGGUCUGGGGGCCAGGGAAGGCCAUGGACUCCCUCUGGGCGAGUCUGUCUCUUCGGAGGAAGAUGGCGUGAGUUAUGGUGAUUUACAGCAGGCCCACCAAAACUGUGUCUGAUGGCCAUCCAGGUCGAUGGGUGACAAAUAUUGGCCAUCACUUCCAAAGAGGAGCUCUUUGUAGCCCUCUGCACACAAAAAGAGGAAUCACCAUCCGUGAGCCCCUUGUGAACACACCCAGUAACUCGCAGACUAAGGUAUGUCCUCAAUCAGUGCUUUCUUUAGCAAAGUGUGAUUUAGCAAAAUUGUGUUUGUGCAGAGAAAAAAGACUCGUGGGACAAAGUGGUGAGAAUACCCAGAACGUACCUUUCCUUCUGCCUGUUGAUUUGUAUUUUCUAUAUUUUAACCACAAACACAGGUGAAUUAUUUCAAGAAAAAAAUCUCAACCCAUUUAAUCAGUAAUUUAGGAAUGAUGGGGUGGGCAUCCUGCUCCCUUCCCCCAGGACAAUGGGUUUCCUGCUGCCCCCAGGGGCAGAAGCACCUCUCUCUCCCUCCCUCUUGGUUGGGGUUGGGCAAUUCUACACACUCCUCUUAAAUCAGCACUCACAUUGGAUCAUAUGACUCCAUCCUUUGAAACAGUGGGUCCUGUAGGAUCUGCCUGGCCUGGGUGCAUUCUCCCCCCUUCCACAGCAAUUUCAGUUCAAUUCUGCAUCAUGUCUGUGCACCCUGAACUCUAUUCUUUCUUGUGCUAUCGUUGUAAUAUUUCAGGUCUAUUUGUGAGCUCAUCUCUCCAUAUAUUUUUUUUUUAAGAUUUUAUUUUUAACGUGGACCGUUUUUAAAGUCUUUGUUGGAUUUGUUACAGUAUAGUUUGUAUUUUAUAUUUUUGGUUUUUUUUUUUUUGGCAUGUGGGAUCUUAGCUCCUCCACCAGGGAUUGAACCCAC